GAGGGCAAGUCUGGUGCCAGCAGCCGCGGUAAUUCCAGCUCCAAUAGCGUAUAUUAAAAUUGUUGCAGUUAAAAAGCUCGUAGUUGAAUUUCUGCUGCUCCGCAUUUUCCCUUUGAGGGGUUUUUGCGCUGUGGCUUAUUUCGGACUGUGUUAUGCACUGUCCGGAUGUUUACUUUGAGAAAAUUAGAGUGCUCAAAGCAGGCUUUUGCCUUGAAUAGUUUAGCAUGGAAUAAUAAAGUAGGACUUUGGUUCUAUUUUGUUGGUUUUAGGUACCAAAGUAAUGGUUAAUAGGAACAGUUGGGGGCAUUCGUAUUUAACUGUCAGAGGUGAAAUUCUUAGAUUUGUUAAGGACGAACUACUGCGAAAGCAUUUGCCAAGGAUGUUUUCAUUAAUCAAGAACGAAAGUUAGGGGAUCGAAGACGAUCAGAUACCGUCGUAGUCCUAACCAUAAACUAUGCCGACUAGAGAUUGGAGGUCGUCAGUUUUUACGACUCCUUCAGCACCUUGAGAG
This 511-nucleotide ribosomal RNA is filed under the name Theileria cervi. Its description in RNAcentral is "SSU rRNA". It matches the Rfam family "Eukaryotic small subunit ribosomal RNA", at positions 551 to 1094 of the family's 1831-position model. The record is from RNAcentral. Lineage: Eukaryota; Apicomplexa; Aconoidasida; Piroplasmida; Theileriidae.